UCAGCGGCAAAGGAUGCAGAGCACUACAACGGUGCCUGUAGGGGACGCAACAUCGGUGGCUUUAGGGAGCGCAGGGAUUGCUGUUUGAGGACUCGCCUCCUCUGAUCCUCUCUUUUUUCCUAUGCAACGGAACAACUUCAGGAUCAAGAGCAGAACGAUGGAACGAUCUCUUUUGAAAGAUGUAUCCCACAUGUCUUAAUUUGUGCGGCUGGCUAGGAUAUGGGAAUUCAGGAGCACUGAUGCUUGCGCAUUAUGUGAGCUUGAUUUUGUUGUCGUCAAUCCAUCAGUCUUGGUAUUGAAUCAAUUCGAACAGUUAGGUACACUGUGUUAGGAAAAUUAGGUUUCUUUAUACUCGCAUAAUGGAUUACGGUAUAUUUUACUUUAGAGUGAUGGAUUUACUGUAUUUGAAUUUCUAAAUUAACAGCCAAGUAGUCAUUUUUUGGCACAUUAGUGGUUCUUUUUCAUAUGAUCGAUUGCAUUAUUUAUGUUUUAGCAUAUGGGUUCAAUGGUUAAUGGACGAACCUAUGUUCUGAUUGCAUUUUACUUGACAACUUUGAUUUGCAAUCAGAUCAAAAUACUUGGGUCAAAUCUAUAUUUUUAUCUCAAGUUUGAUUGCAUUUUAUUUGUCUUCCGUUCUCAAGUUUCCUUGCAAGUAUUUGGUCACCAUGUGUAUGUUUGCCCUGAACAUUUUUGGCCGUAUGUAGAAAUAAAGGGGUUCGCCCACAUACCAGUUUAUGUUCAGGUCCUAGCGUUGUUCGUAGAAUGAUCAAUAUGUUAGUGUUCUCAAAAUAUAGUCAAGCGGGGCAGUCCACCAUGAACAGAGCUGCCAUUGCGUCUCACGUUCGUGGUAGGUGGUCUAGCCCUUCCAGCAAUGCUGUGUUUGUGGCAUGAUAGGUCUCCAGGUUGUGAGUAGAGCCGUGGCCGCACUCUGUUCAAUAUUCUCUUCCUCCUGUUCCGCGUGCGAUUGAGGCGCCUUUGCAUACACAUGUCUCCUCACCACUGGUGGCUGCCAUGCCACCACUGUUGUCAUGGACUGGGGUGAGUUACUCCAACGCCAGCCCUUGCAGGUUGUUGAUUACAGCGGGAAAUUGGGGUCAAAGAUGGAAAUUUAAUUUUCACCUUUUGCUUGGAGGAAAUCUAUGUUCAGAUUUAGGUGAAUGCCGAAUCAUGUAGUUUCUUGUUUUCUAACGGUGGUAUCAUUGAAGCAUAUGUCGGUAUGAGUUAAAAUGUUAUCAUUGUACAUGGCCGGGUUUGGGAAAUUAUUUGCUGACUUCAUAAUAUAAGGAGAGAUACAGAAAUAGAGUUAUAUGUUUCUCCAGAUACAGAGUUUAUGCUUCUCCAAAGUGUCUAUCCAUAAGCCAUUGGUUGCAAGCAUGACUAUAUACUUUCUUCAGACUGUUGUUCAGGUCAAAAGUUUGUAAGGGUGUUCUAAUGCCUAUUAGAGUUCUUUUAUUUAGACGUGCUAAGACUAAACUGCAGGUAAUGUUUUCUAUUUAGAAACUGCAGUUGUAUGACCGGAUCAUCUGGAUAGGUAUUGUAGAUAUAGAUUCGGUUUUGUAAUAGCAUAUUUGAUCUUUGCCUUCCUAUAAUAAGUGUUUUCUUUGUCCAGCAAGAUUGAAAGUGGCAUGGACAUUCUUUAUGUAUUUUAGUUUGCAGAACAACAUAUAUAGAUUGGAGUUUUGAAGCCAAUGACAAAGGGGAUGAAACGUUUCUUCGGUGCUGAAAUACAUAGAUUUUGAUGUAACUCUACCAUUCAGUUACAUAUGCUACCUUUUCUUCUGCCUAGCAUAAGCAUGGCUAGGAGAGUAGGAUACCCUGAUCCCUUCUUCCAUUGAUUUUGUAAGUAUAUGUGAUUUACCUGGCCUUCAGAUUUAUAUUGUUUCACUAUCUACAUUCGUUUUUGUCUGAAAAAGUUUCUUUUCUGGAUUUCAGUUCAGGUGGUCAAAUUGACAUAUUUGGCCUUAUAAAUGAGCUACGUCAAAUUCUAUACGGAGUUCUCAAGAACUGCUUAUAACAAGCUGCGGAGAAGGUUUAGAGAGAUCAGCGGAAGAAAGAAAGCACAAAUUUCAACAAGCUAUGAAGGGUCUGAGGGUUAUCUCAUUUAUUUUACUAGGGAACGGUUCUUCACAUUCGCUAGAUAUGUUGCAUAAGCAACGAUUUCGAUCUUUUUACAUCGACUCCAUGAAUGCUUAUUUAUCGACUGAAUUUUUCAGCUCAUUACAACAUCAUAUCGACUUCUGAACAUUACAAGUUUCAACUA
This is a non-coding RNA of Lolium perenne, 2260 nucleotides long. The record is from RefSeq and is a predicted model, not a curated record. NCBI's taxonomy places the organism in Eukaryota, Viridiplantae, Streptophyta, Magnoliopsida, Poales, Poaceae.